Molecule: ribosomal RNA, 462 nt
Filed under: uncultured bacterium
Lineage: Bacteria
Description: partial 16S ribosomal RNA
Rfam family: Bacterial small subunit ribosomal RNA
Source: RNAcentral
GACGAACGCUGGCGGCGUGCUUAACACAUGCAAGUCGAGCGGUAAGGCCUUUCGGGGUACACGAGCGGCGAACGGGUGAGUAACACGUGGGUGAUCUGCCCUGCACUUCGGGAUAAGCCUGGGAAACUGGGUCUAAUACCGGAUAUGACCUCCUAUCGCAUGGUGGGUGGUGGAAAGAUUUAUCGGUGCAGGAUGGGCCCGCGGCCUAUCAGCUUGUUGGUGGGGUAAUGGCCUACCAAGGCGACGACGGGUAGCCGACCUGAGAGGGUGACCGGCCACACUGGGACUGAGACACGGCCCAGACUCCUGCGGGAGGCAGCAGUGGGGAAUAUUGCACAAUGGGCGAAAGCCUGAUGCAGCGACGCCGCGUGAGGGAUGACGGCCUUCGGGUUGUAAACCUCUUUCAGCAGGGACGAAGCGCAAGUGACGGUACCUGCAGAAGAAGCACCGGCUAACUACGUG